This 321-nucleotide ribosomal RNA is filed under the name uncultured Paracercomonas. RNAcentral describes it as "SSU rRNA". The stretch from base 82 to 321 matches the Rfam family "Eukaryotic small subunit ribosomal RNA", at positions 712 to 955 of the family's 1831-position model. Lineage: Eukaryota; Cercozoa; Cercomonadida; Cercomonadidae. The record is from RNAcentral.
GAUUUCUGGUACGAUAUGCCUGGCCCGUCCUCGUCAGAGGCACGAGUGCUGGUGUGUGUCUGCCAUCUUUCUAGAGAGCGGCACUUCCCUUCAUUGGAGAGGUGUCCGUCAUCUAGAUCUUUUACUUUGAAAAAAUUAGAGUGUUUAAAGCAGGCUUGCGCUAUGAAUACAUUAGCAUGGAAUAAUAAUUUAGGACUUUAUUCCUAUUUAUUGGUUUCUGGAGUAGAGUAAUGAUUGAUAGGGAUAGUUGGGGGUGCUAGUAUUCAUCGGCCAGAGGUGAAAUUCUUGGAUUCGAUGAAGACUAACUAAUGCGAAAGCAUU